GAUGAACGCUAGCGGGAGGCCUAACACAUGCAAGCCGAGCGGUAGAGUUUCUUCGGAAACUUGAGAGCGGCGCACGGGUGCGUAACACGUGUGCAACCUACCUUUAUCUGGGGGAUAGCCUUUCGAAAGGAAGAUUAAUACCCCAUAAUAUAAUGAUUGGCAUCAAUUAUUAUUGAAAACUCCGGUGGAUAGAGAUGGGCACGCGCAAGAUUAGAUAGUUGGUGAGGUAACGGCUCACCAAGUCAAUGAUCUUUAGGGGUCCUGAGAGGGAGAUCCCCCACACUGGUACUGAGACACGGACCAGACUCCUACGGGAGGCAGCAGUGAGGAAUAUUGGACAAUGGGUGAGAGCCUGAUCCAGCCAUCCCGCGUGAAGGAUGACGGUCCUAUGGAUUGUAAACUUCUUUUGUACAGGGAUAAACCUACCCUCGUGAGGGUAGCUGAAGGUACUGUACGAAUAAGCACCGGCUAACUCUGUG
This 479-nucleotide ribosomal RNA is filed under the name uncultured bacterium. RNAcentral describes it as "partial 16S ribosomal RNA". It matches the Rfam family "Bacterial small subunit ribosomal RNA", at positions 28 to 507 of the family's 1533-position model. The record is from RNAcentral.